Molecule: long non-coding RNA, 747 nt
Organism: Dama dama (fallow deer)
Lineage: Eukaryota; Metazoa; Chordata; Mammalia; Artiodactyla; Cervidae
Exons: 6
Source: RefSeq, a predicted model, not a curated record
UGACGGACAGCCUGCCUGUCCCGCCUCUCCCCCCUCCCUUCCCCCGGCAGCCGGGGGCGGCCCCGCCGGCAGCGCCUGCGACCGUCGGACCCAAGAUCUUCCCGGCCCUGCGGCCGAAGUGGCCUCGCGGCCACUCCCUAGACGCACCCGGGGCAGUCUGAUGGCCCCGUCACAGAACACCGCCCAAACUAAAGACACCUUCAGUCACAGUAGAGCCUGUCUGACGGAUGUUGAGCCAGACAAAGCAGGACCACGUACUGCGUUUCAGAGAAGGAAAAACUGAGGCCCGGAGACAUUAAGCUAAGAGGCGGCAGAAAUGGGAUUCAGGCCCAUCCAGAGUCCACAUCACAUUGCCUUCCACCUAGACCCUGCUUCACCUCUACUGAUCGCCGCUCUUGCGGGGCCCAGAUGUUGAGGCAGGAGAGCUGGACUUCAGGGACACUGUCAUUGCCUCUCUGCAGGCAGAGAAGGGGAGCACCCUUGCUAGCUGCUGUGGCCCAGGCCAGGCCUGCUGCGACUGCCCAGGAAGUCCUUCACAGCUGUUCUUGACCAGCAUCUAGUUGCUCUGCACCGGCCCUCAGAAGAACAGUCCUUGCCAGAAAAGACCAUCCAGGAUGUCCCAAUGCGUUUGCAGUGUGCACGGCAGAAGACAGGACUCUCUGAAGUGUGCAAUGUAGGAACCGCGUGAGAGCUGACAUCACCCUUCCCAAGCCAGCAGGGGGCCUUCAAGAAGGGCGUGGUGCUUAC